CUCCGUAUAAACACCGGUUCACGUACGAUCACCGAAGUUAAACAACGUCGAGCUUGGUCUGUAUCUAGAUGGGUGACAACUUGGGAAUACCAGCUGCU
Molecule: non-coding RNA, 98 nt
Organism: Acanthosepion pharaonis
Lineage: Eukaryota; Metazoa; Mollusca; Cephalopoda; Sepiida; Sepiidae
Source: the annotation of a GenBank genome assembly